AAAUCUGGACUUCCCAGCCUCCAGAACUAUGGAAAAUAAAUGUCUGUUGUUUAAACCAGUCAGCCUAUGGUAUUUUUGUCACAGCAGCUCAAAUGAACUAAGACAUAUGACAAAGCCUGGGAGGUGGGCUAGAAGUAGAUAGUAGACACUGAGGAGGAGAGAGCUUCCCAGAGAACUUGAAAGAAGUCUGUGUGAUCCUUUCUUCAUCACUAGGCACCUUUUCUCUAUUGUCCUUCUGACUUGUUCACUAAUUUAGGGUCCAGAUCUAAACACCUCUGGACAGACUACAGUAAGCUACCUUUUUUUAAUGCUUAUUUAUUUUUGAGAGAGAUACAGAAAGAGAGGGAGAGAUCUUGAGUGGGGAAGAGGCAGAGAAAGAGAGAGAGAGAUACAGAAUCAGAAGCAGGCUCAAGGCUCUGAGCUGUCACCUGAGCAGGGCUCAAACUCAUGAGCUGUGAGAUCAUGACCCAAGCUAAAGUUGGUUGCUCAACAAACUGAGCCACCCAGGCCCCCCAGUAAGCUAACAUUUUUGAGCAAUUACUAUCUGCCCAGCCUUGUUCUAAGUGCUUGUCAUACAAUCUACACAAUAAUUCUAAAAACAGGUAUUAUGUAACCUCCCCCUUCCCCACUCCAUGAAUGAACUAUGCCCAAAGUAACGCAGCUUAUAAGAAAUAGAGCCAGAGAAACAAAAUAAAUAACAAUUAUUGAUAGCUCAUUAUGUAUUAGGGCUUUAUAUACAGUAUUUCAUUAUUUCUCACACAAUCCUAUGAAACACAUACUUCUAUUAUUUCCAUUGUACAAAUGUACAAAAUUGGACUUGAAAUGGUUUUGUAACUUACCCAUACCUACACAGCUAAUAAGUGACAGGGCCAGCGUAGGGAUGCAGGAUUCCAAGUUCCUUCCAUUUACCCAGUCCUCUGUCCUCAUCACACACAGGUUCCAGGAUCAUAAAAAGGCUAACAUUUAUGGAAUCCCUAUUACAUGUUAGGUAUGCUCCUAAAUACCUAUAUUAACUCAGUUGAUCCUCCAUGAGCUGGGUAUAAUUACUGUUACUAUUACUGAUGCCAUUUUGCAUUUGAAGAAAUUGAGGCAAACCAAUUUUCUCAGACACAUGAUGAAAAAAUGUCUACACUUAGGCUUGGACCCAACAGCUUAUCUUCAGACUCCAUGCUCUGAACUAUUGCAUCAUUAUGCUGCUUAUGAAUGUUCAUAUGACUAAAUUUAAAUAGCACUUAUUUAGAAAUCAUAUUCAUAUACCCACUAGAAGUUAACCCUAAGUCCAAAGCAUUUUAUCAUAUUCCAGGUAAGUUUUAUGCAAAAAUAGCAUAGCUUCCCCAUUUCCUAUAUUUCCAUGGUAAAGCUGGGGUGGAGAGGACUUCAAAAAAUUUAAAGGGCCAGACACUUAUUUAGAGACAAGACAGGAGAAGCUGGAAUAUUGACACCUUUUGUCUACAGGAAGCUUGGGAAGACAUUCCUGCUUCAGCACCCCUCCUGGCCGAGGAUGAGGAAGGGUUGGAGAAGUGUGUCCAGCUGGAGAAGUGAGAGUGAGGCACUGAGCUGUGAAGAAACUGCUAGAUGGAGUUAAUCCUGGUAGGAAGUUCUUUGGAAUCCCACCCCAAAGAGAUGGAGCAGGUAGUGAGACAUCUUCAGCUAACUUCCCUUUCAGGGAGAUAGCAGGGAGAUGGAAACUCCAGGACUUUCCUUCCAAUAUAGCACCCUGGACCUCAAUCUUCUACUUGUGUCCUUUCAUCUUUGGUCACACCUCACUUAGAACCUGCUCCCUGGCAGCAAAAGGCAGAAGUCAUUAUGUAUUUGCACUGUGUAUCAUUAUUAUUAUUUUGUUAAUUAGCUGAAUUGAUAGAGCACUGAAUUAAACCAAAUUAACAACUUUUUCCAUGGGUAUGCCCCAUCUGUAAUAGUUACACUCUUUUAAAGUAUUAUCAACUAAUCCCUAGAGAAACUGGGAUGGAGGGAGGAGAAUAUUUAUUUAUUGGUUGAUUUAUUGAUUGAUUGAUUUAAUAUUAUUUAUUUCAUCUCCAUUUAGAAAAGGUAUGUGCUGUGUACUUUAUUUCUAACUCUCAGCAGGUUUCACAUGAUCAUGGCUUACAGAAGUGGUGAAAAUAUGUUAAUUAACAAGGUUGUAACUCCCUAGCUGUGCUCUUAGUGUGAUUCAUGCUGUAUAUUAGUGGGAGGUGGGGGGAGAAGGUUAAAUGAUAUGCAAUGUUUUACACUGCAUAAUAAUUGUUACAUUUUGACAUGAAAUCAAACAUACCAAUACUAGAAAAGGAGUGCCCCAAAUGCCCGCUCAAAGAGCCAGUGGUGUUUUUGAGGAAUUUUAAGCUCCCUGGAUUAUAGGAUGCCAUGAAUAAGAGGAUGAAUGGUAGGUAGGUUGGCUGGGGAAGUUUGACCCAAAAAUCUGGUGCAACAUUCCACAAAAAUAGGAUAGUUAUUAACGAGUGGCAACAGUGGGGAAAUGAUUACUGUGGGUUUGAAACAAAAAAUUAGUAAAUUAUAACACUAAAUGGAGAGGCCUGUGGCAGGUCUUGGAAGUGAGUUUAGAAUUCUGCAGAACUGAGCUGUGGUUGCAAGUGAGAAACAGGCUGGUGGGCCCCCAUGGCACUUGACUCUGCCUGGCCCUGGGUGCUUCAGGGAGAAGAAGCCUGCAGUGCAGCCUAGAAUCUUUCCUGCCAGUACAGUAUACCAAGAGCCUUGCCCCCUUUCUUCUCUUGCCUUCAGAGCCACCUCUGCAGCAAACCCCAGGCUGAGAAGUGCUCUGGGGACCUGGGCUCCACCACUGGGUUGCACCAGCAAGGAGGGUGCAGCUUCCUUGGUGAACUCGGUUGAGGCGGGGGGAAAGAAGGGGCACCCUGGCUGUGUUUGAAGAUGUGUGGUCCACAACAUAUACCACUUACUUGAUUGUUUCCUGGUACCUGAAAACAGUAAAGAUCUACAUGUUACGUGAAAAUGUACCGUAUUGAAAAAUAAAAACACAACCCACAAAUUGCACAAAAAUUCGUAUAAGCAUGAUUGUUUUACAAAAGGAGGCAAGAACGCAUUAGAAACGGGGUGUUAUAUGAUUGAAACAGUCUGCAACGCAUAAAUGUUUCUAACACUCUCCCAGAAUCCCUGCCUGGUUUGUUUAGAAUCCAGAUGGUCCGCAUUGUGUAUUUUCAUGUAACUAGCCAUCCUAGCUGCUUGGGAAUCCUGUGAUGAAGGUCACUAAACCGACUGCUGGCUUCACAAUAGACAAAUGACAGAAAAUUAGGCAUGAACAGAUGACAGAAUCUCCUUCCUUUCCAUACUAAAUGUCUUGAAUGUGAAGACUUGGUAUCAAUUUUAAGAGGAAAGUUUUUUGUUGGAGGAGAGCUAGGAUUAAAGCUAAAUCCUCUAAGUCUCCAAAUCCCAGGCUCUUUCUACCACCUGACAGUGUCUACUAAUAACAAUAUGCAAUCUCGAGGAUCAAGGACUUGUGAUUUCCACAUGAACCAGGUUAACAAUAACAGAGCUGGAGUAAGCACAUUCAAGUGAAUUGAGAUGGACUGGAACUCCUUCACUUGUUUAAAGUGAGUUUGUAGUCUUUUUGGACUGUUUGGUCUUGGAAUAAAAGGCUGGAUUUACUCUUGGGGAGCAGCUUAUAAUAUUCUGUGGCUGGAGAAAUUAGGUGGAUAUCAAAAUGGAAGACCCUUUACUGAAAAAAAGAACCUGGUUAAAAAAAGUAUUAGUACUUCUCCUGUUUUCAAUCCAGCACCCUUAGUUCAGACAAUUUUUUUUAGACAUUCCAGUUCAGCACAGUAUCUUUUCAUCCAGUUCUUAUCACUAUCCAGUAGGAGAAGAAAGAAGAAAAGAUUAAUAAAGAAAUAAUGCAUAUGUGACACAUAUUCUCUCUCACCCAUUUUAUCAGUCUUAAAUAAUUUAGGGCAGGAAAACUUUCAUAGGAUUUUCUAAUUCACAAAUGCUCUAAAACACACACCUCAAGAAUGUGCUAGAUUUGCUGUGCAGUCUCUUGCCCCUAUGAUGUAUAAUUUAAAUGAGGACUGUACUUGGUAAGGGAGUAGAGUGAAUGUGCUAUAAGCCAGCUAUUGAUACUUCGCAAAUAGCCACUCUCUGCUUAUUAAAAGAUGAUGAGGCAAACCAGUAUCUUAUAGGAGCCAGAUCUGGUGGGAAAGUAAAUUGAUUCUCUUCCUUCACUUGGAUGGAAGCAAAGGAGUUCUCUUGCAUUCAUCCGAGAAAUAAGACUUUCUUAAUACAAAGAGGAUAUUCUAAUUCAAAACUUUAAAACAAAUAAGAUAGACAAAUGAGCAUUGGACAAAUAAAACAACCCUUGAAAUCUGGUGUAGCCCAAAUGGCACUGCACUUAGGCCCCAAAAUCUAUCCCAGAUAUGUCACUUACUAGUUUUGUGUCCUUUGGCAAUGUAAUCACGUUAAGCCUCAAACUGUACAAUCCUAACACAGAAUGGGAGGUGCAUCCAAACUCUACCUCCAUUACUAUUUUGUUAGGAGGAUAAAAUGAGAUAAUGCACAUGAAAUCACUUUGUAAAGCCUUGAGCACUGUGCUGAUGUAAGACAUUAUUUUUGUACUGAUACCUAUUAUGAGAAAAAUAAAAGAUUAAUUCAAGAUUAUGCUGCAUGGUUAUGAAAAACUGUGUACUUUACAAUAUCCAGUUAUUUUUAAGGAUCCCCAUUGCCAUAGGCAUGAACAUUUAAUCAGUCACUGGAAGAAAAAAAAACCACCCCCAAAGAGCUUUGCCUAAGAAAAGCUGAUAAAACAGAGUCAUGCCAUGUUUCCAUCUUAAUCUUCCUUCAGCAUCCUCCCACCCUUCCUGGCUGCAUACUUUGCAUACUUAGAAUUUUAGGCCGUUGAUUAUGUGUGCAAAUAUAUAUAUAUUUGAAUGGCAAUGGUGCAACAGAAAUAGAUGCCAUUAUCAUGGUGGGUAAAAAUCUAGCUUCAGGGGCAGUAUCUGCAGUCAAAUGUGCAGCUAACCCAGUAAAGCUUGGUUGCUCUGUUAUAGAAAAGGCAUGCUGAAUCUGCAUGUGAGUAAAGAACAUUCUCUCCCUUAGGACGUUAUAACUUCUGCUGAUACACCUCACUGGUUUUAUCAUUCAGAUAAAAUCUUUAAAACAGAAGAAUAUAGGAAAUCAUUGGUAGAAAGAUAGAUAACAUGGAGUUACCAUAAAAGAGGCUUAAUUUUGUAGCUAUUUCACAUUAUUGCUAAUGUAGGCAUGAAACAGAGACACAGAUUUUUCUGCUUACUUAGCAAUGUCCUAUUUUUCUUUGCUAUUCUUAAAGACUGAAUGAGGACACCUUUUUACAUCAUUCUUCCAGAUUCUAAAAAUAGAAGGGAAAAGUAAUGUGAUAGUGAUAAUAUAAAAAUAGCUACCAUUUAAUGAGUGUCUACUCUGGACGAGGCAGUUCAUACAUAUUGUCUUAUUAUAUUAUUAGCCUUUGGGAUUAUUACAGGUAGAUAUCAUAAUUUUCACUUACAUAUAAGGAAACUAAGUCUCAGAAAGGUUACAUAUUUGUUCACAUAAUACAACUAGUAAGUAGCAAAGUGGCAAACAGAUUUUAUGGAAUGACUCUCCAUUUGCUAGUAAAAUCUGUUAACUAGGUUGUAGGGCAUUUGCGAAAUGGGAACACUGCUUUCAUCAGAGAGGGUGGCCACCUAUACCUCCAAUAAUAUAUCCUCCUUAUAAGUAGCAUUCCAGAGAAAAGGCCACACCCCUAUUUCCAAAUAGAUGCUAUCUUCACUAGAAUUAUAUACCCACAAUUGGACCCAUCUCUGUGUCUAGGAGGAGAAAAUACUCUAAUGAGCUCAUGUCAUCCGUCUACCACAUGUGGGAAAAGAAGGACAACAUGGUUGACAUCUUCAUGCUCUUGUCCAAAAGAAGGAAUAUAGGGCAGGAAAAAAGAAGUGUCAAAUAUUUUACAGCAAUUACCUAAAUAUUUGUCACUAUUUCCUAAUAGCUUUUCUGACAUUUGCCUCUCUGAUCCCCAAAGCAGACUGUAGAAAAAAUAAAAACAUAAUUGAAGAAUAACUUCUGCUAGCUAUGUUGAGAUUACUUGAACUUCCGACUGCUCCUUCUUGUAGUUUCCUAGAGCAAAUCAGUUGGAUCUUCAGUGCUUUUAACAUGGAGGAGGAAAAUCCUCUUCUUCCCUUGUCCCUGCCUCUUUGCUUGAAUGAGCCACUGGCUGAUUAGAGAAGACAACCACUUUCUUAUAGCUUAAAGCAAUAAGUAGUUUUAGUAGUUUUCUCAUCUCUUCAAAAUGUGCAAAGAAAAGAAAUGACCCUAGAAACAAAGCAGUCAUCAAUACGCAUAAUAGCUAUAUUUAUGAUACUGAAAACCUAGACAAAAGUUUUGACAAAGAAAUGUAAUGGUAUUUCUCAGUGUCAGCAAACUUUAGCUUGAGUACAAUAUUGGGAAUUUGGUACAUUUCAAUGAUUUAUGGGCACUAAGAUAUUGGUAGUUUAUAGGAUACCAUGAAAUGCAUUCCUCUCCUUAAAAACUGGGAUUCUAAAAUCACUCUCAACAGAAAACAGAGAUAUACAAAAUCACCUUAAUACUAGCUCCUGGUAUGCCAGCACUGGCCGUUACAUAUUAAAAGAUUUUUCUCUAUAUAAAGGAAAAAUAUGUCAGAAAGGAAAUGAUCAGCUAUGGAAGCAAAACUAGGAAGGAAAACUUUAGCAUUAUAUAUUUAAGAGGUUUCUGGGUAAUGGGUAUCCUUGAAUAGAUAAUCUGACCUAUUGCAUUUUCAAUUGUUGAGAUGAUGUUCACACAGUGGAAGGACCAUGGGCUUCACAGUCAGAUAAACCAUUCAUUAUACAAAUAUUUACUUAGUACCUCCUGUGUCCCCAGUAGUUCUAGACACUUAUGGUAUGUCAAUGAACAAGACAACAAAGAUCCCUGCACAAUGUCACAGACAGGGCAAUAGUCAUUAAACACAGUAAAUAAGUAAAUUGUAUAGUGUUGUUAGAAACCAAAUAACUGCUAUGAAAAAGAAAACAUAAAACAAGAUAUAAGGAAUUGAGGGGGCUCUGGAGGAAGGAUAGGGUGUGAUAUUAAUUUGCUAGUCAGGGAAUCCUCACUGAGAAGGGAUAUUUGAGCAAUGAAUUGAAGGUGAUGAGGGAUUUUCCAAGUGGAUAUCUGGGCGUGGGGGUGGACGGUGGUUGGGGAAACAUGCCAUGCAAAGGGAACAGUGAGAGCAAUUGCCUGAAGAUAGAAACAUUCCUGGCACAUCUAAGGAAUUCCAAGGAAGCCAGUAUAGCAGGAGUUAAGUGAAGACAAGGGGAAGUAAAAAGAGAGAAAGUCAAAAGGAGAUCACUGUAGGCCACUGUAAAGACAACUGGAACACUUCAAGUGUGAGAUGAUGGUGGCAGGGUCUGGGGUUGGUAGCAAUGAAGGUGGUAAGAAAUCAUACUUUGGAUAUAUUUUGAAGGUGGAACAAAUAAGAUUCAUUGAAAGACUGGGUGUGGAGUGUGAGAAGGAUAGCUGUCAAGAACACUGCAAGGCUUUUGGCCUGAACAACUGAAUGCAAACCCUGGCACCAUCCCCUACUGGUCAUGUCUCCUUUGGUAAUUUAUUUCUCAGUAUCCUCUUUCAUAAAAUGGGGCUCAAAUGGUAUCUUCUAAGCAGGAUGGUUAUGAAACUAUUAAGUGAGAUACCGUUUGCAAAGCAUCUUGUACAUGGUACACAUCAAACAAGUGGCCAUUACAAGCCAUUUCCUUCCUUUCUUUCUUUCUUUCUUUCUUUCUUUCUUUCUUUCUUUCUCUUUCUCUCUCUCUCUCUUUCUUUCUUUCUCUUUCUUUCUUUCUUUCUCUUUCUUUUCUUUUCUUUUCUUUUCUUUUCUUUUCUUUUCUUUUCUUUUCUUUCUCUUAAUUCCACUGUAGGUAACAUACAGUGUUAUAUUUGUUUGAGUGUACAAUAGUCAUUUAAUAAUUCCAUAUAUUACUCAAGGCUCAUGAAGAUAAGUAUACUCUUGAUCCCCUUCACCCAUGUUUUACCAUUCCCCCACUGACCUUCUCUCUGGUAACCAUCUGUUCUCUACACUUAAGAGUCUGUUUUUUGGUUUGUCUUCCCCGCCCCCCCCGUUCAUUUGUUUUGUUUCUUAAAUUCCACAUACGAGUGAAAUCAUAUGGUAUUUGUCUUUCUCUGACUGGCUUAUUUCACUUAGCAUUAUACUCUCUAGAUUCAUCCACGUUGUUGCAAAUGGCAGGAUUUGAUUCUUUUUUAUGGCUAAGAAAUAUUCCUGUGUGUGUGUGUUUGCAUGUACACACACACACACAUAUACAUAUAUUAUACAGACACACACAUAUAUACAUAUGUAUACUGCUUCUUUAUCUGUUCAUCUAUUGAUGAACACUUAGGUUGUUUCCAUGAUUUGGUUAUUGUAAAUAAUAUUGCAAUAAACAUAGGGGUACAUGCAUCCUUUCAAAUUAGUGUUUUUGUAUUCUUUGGAUAAAUAACUUAUUUGGGAUUGAAGGCUAUUUCUAUUUUUAAUUUUUUGAGGAGCUCUCCAUAUUGUCUUCCAUAGUGGCUGCAGCAGUUUGCAUUCCUACCAACUGUGGAUGAAGGUUCCUAUUUUUUGCAUGUAGCUGCCCAGUUUUCCCAGCAACAUUUGUUGAAGAGACUUCUCCUAUUGCAUAUUCUUACCAUCUUUGUUGAAGAUUAAUUGACCGUAUAAUCAUGAAUUUAUUUCUGGGUUUUAUAUUCUGUUCUAUUGAUCUAUAGAUCUAUUUUUAUUGCCAGUACCAUACCAUUUUGAUUACUACGGCUCUGUAUUAUAACUUAAAGUCUGAAAAAAAUAAGUUAAAGUCUAGAAUUGUGAUGCCUCCAGUUUUGUUUUUCAUCUUCAAAAUUGCUUUGGCUACUUGGGGUCUUUUGUGCUUCCAUACAAAUUUUAGGAUUAUUUACUAUAGAUCUUUGAAAAAUGCUGUUGGGGGCACAUGGGUGGCUCAGUCAGUUAAACGUCCGACUUUGGCUCAGGUCAUGACCUCACGGUUUGUGAGUUCCAGCCCCGCGUCGUGCUCUGUGCUCACAACUCGGAGCCUGGAGCCUGCUUUGGAUUCUGUGUCUCCCUCUUUCUCUCUCUCUGCCCCGCCCCUGCUCAUGCUCUUUCUCUAUAUCUCAAGAAAAUAAAUAAACAUUAAAAAAUUUGAAAAAUGCUGCUGGUAUUUUGAUAGGAAUUGCAUUAAAUUUAUAGAUUGCUAUGGGUAGUAUAACAUUUUAACAAUAUUUGUUCUUCCAACCCAUGAGCAUGGAAUGUCUUUUAAUUUCUUUGUAUCAUUUUCAAUUUCUCUCAUCAGAGUUUUCUGGUUUUCAGAAUACAGGUUGUUCACCUCUUUGCAUAAAUUUCUUAUGUAUUUUAUUAUUUUGGUGCAAUUAUAAAUGGGACUGUUUUCUUAAUUUCUUUUUCUGAUUCUUCAUCAUUAGUGUAUAGAAAUGCAAUGAAUUUCUGUUUAUUGAUUUUGUAUCCUGCUAUCCUACUGAAUUAAUGUAUCAGUCCUAGUAAUUUUUUGGUGGAGUCUUUCAGGUUUUCUGUAUAUACUAUUUUGUCAUCUGUACAAGUGAAAGUUUUGCUUCUUUCUUACAAACUUGGAUGCAUUUUAUUUCUUUUUGUUGUCUGAUUGCUGUGUCUAGGAGUUCUAGUACUAUGUUGAAUAAAAGUGUUGGGAGUUGACAUCUUUGUCUUGUUCUUGACCUUAUGGGAAAAGCUCUCAAUUGUUCACCAUUGAGUAUGAUGUUAGCUAUGAGUUUUGCAUAUCUAGCCUUUAUUAUGUUGAGGUAUGUUCCCUCUAAACAAAUUGGUUGAGGGUUUUUUUAUCAUGAAUGGAUGUUGUACUUUGUCAAGUGCUUUUUCCGCAUCUAUUGAAAUGAUCAUGUUUUUUAUCCUUCCUCCUAUUGAUGUUAUGUAUCACAUUGAUUUGUGAAUACUGAACCACCCUUGCAUCCUGGGAAUAAAUCCCACUGAAACAUAGUAGAUGAUUUUUUAAAUGUGCUGUUGGGUUCAGUUUGCCAAUAUUUUGCUGAGGAUUUUUGCAUCUAUGUUCAUUAGAGAUACUGACCUGUAGUUCUCUUUUUCUGUGGUAUCUUUAUCUGAUGUUGAUAUCAGGGUAACGCUGGCCUCAUAGAUUGAAUUUGGAAGCUCUCCUUCCUCCUUUAUUUUUUGGAAUAGUUUGAAAAGAAUAAGUAUUAACUCUUCUUUCAGCAUGUGUUAGAAUUCCCUUGUGAAGCUAUCUAGUCCUGGACUUCUGUUUUUUGAGUUUUUUGAUUACUGAUUAAAUUUCAUUGCUGGUAAUUACUCUCUUCAAGUUUUCUUUUUCUUCCUGAUUCAGUUUUGGAGGCUGUAUAUUUCUAGGAAUUUAUCCAUUUCUUCUCCAAUUUGUUGGCAUAUACUUUUUCUUAUGAUAUUCUCUUACAAUUGUUCAUAUUUCUGUGGUGCCAGUUGUUAUUUCUCCUCUUUCAUUCGUUAUUGUGUUUAUUUUGAGUCCUCUCUUUCUUUGUUUUUAAAAGUCUGUAUAGAGGUUUAUGAGGACAGGAAAAAAAAAAGAGGGAAGCAAACCAUAAGAGUCUUUUAACUAUAGAGAACUGAGGGUUGAUGGAGGGAGGUGGGCAGAGGAUGGGCUAAAUGGGUGAUAGGUAUUAAGGGGGGCACUUGUGAUGAGCACUGGGUGUUACAUGUAAGUGAUGAAUCACUAAAUUCUACACCUGAAUGAAUUUUACCAUAUAUAUUAACUAACUAGAAUUUAAAUUAAAAAUGAAGUGGAAAAGAAAAGAAAGAGUCUGGGUAGAGAUUUAUCAACUUUGUUGAUCUUUUCAAAGAACCAGCUUCUGGUUUCAUUGAUAUUCUAUUAUUUUUUUAGUUUCUAUAUCAUUUAUUUCUGCUCAAAUCUUUAUGGUUUCCAAAGUUCUGCUGGUUUGGGGUUCUGUUUGUUCUUUUUUCUUUUUAACUCCUUUAGGAGUCUAAGGUUAGGUUGUUUACUUGAGAUUUUUCUUGCUUCUUGAAUGAGACCUAUAUUGCUGUAAACUCUCUUAGAAUCACUUUUGCUCCAUUACAUACAUUUUGGACCAUUGUGUUUUCAUUUUCAUUUUUCUGUAUGUAUUUUUAUUUCCUCUUUGAUUUUUUGGUUGACCUAUUCAUUGCUUAGUAGCAUGUUAUUUAACCUCAAUGUAUUUUUUAUCUUUCCAGAUUUUUUCUUGUAAUUGACUCCUAGUUUCAUAGUGUGUGGUCAAAAAAUGCAUGGUAUGACUUGAUCUUUCUGAAUUUGUGAGACUUGUUUUGCGGCCUAAUAUGUAAUCUAUUCUGGAAAAUGUUCUAUGUGCACUUGAACAGAAUAUGUAUUCCUGUAUUUUAGGAUGGAAUGUUCUGAAUGUAUCUGUUAGAUCCAUCUGGUCCAGUGCAUCUCUCAAAGCCACUGUUACCUUGUUCAUUUUCUGUUUGGAUGAUCUGUCCAUUGAUGUGAGUGGGGUGUUAAAGUCUCCUAUUAUUGUUUUACUAUCAAUUACUUCCUUUAUGUUUGUGAUUAGCUGCUUUAUAUAUUUGGGUGCUUUCAUGUUGGGUGCAUAAAUGUUUACAACUGUUAUAUCUUUUUGUUGGGUUUUGUCUCCUUUAUUAUUAUAUAGUGUCCUUCUUGUCUCUUGUUACAGUCUUGUUUUAAAGUAUACUUUGUCCUGGGAUGCCUGGGUGGCUCAGUUGGUUAAACAUCCAACUUUGGCUCAGGUCAUGAUCUCAUGGUUUGUGGUUUUGAGCCCUGCAUCGGGCUCUGUGCUGACAGUUCAGAGCCUGGAGCCUGCUUUGGAUUCUGCAUCUCCCUUUCUCUCUGCCCCUCCCAAGCUCACCCUCUGUCUCUUUCUGUCUCUCAAAAAUAAAUAAAAAUGUUUAAAAUUUUUUUAAAAAAGUAUAUUUUGUCCAAAAUAAAUAUUGCUACUUCAGCUUUUUUUUUUGACAUCUGUUUGCAUGAUAAAUUUUUCUCCAUCCUCUCAUUUUCAAUCUUCAUGUGUCUUUAGGUCUGAUAUAGGUCUCUUGUAGGCAGUAUAUAGAUGGGUCUUACUUUUUUAUCCAUUCUCUCACCCUAUGUCUUUUGAUUGGAACAUUUAAUUCAUUUAUAUUCAGAGUAAUUAUUGAUAGCUAUGCAUUUAUUGCCAUUUUGUUACUUGUGAUUGUAUUUGUAGUUUUUCUCCGAUCCUUUCUUCUCUUGCUCUCUUUCACCAUUUGCUGACUUUCUUUUGUGAUAUACUUAGAUUCCUUUCUCUUUAUUCUUUGCAUAUGUUGCAAAGAAUAUUGCAUAUCCUUUGUUGGUGAUUAUCAUUAGGUUUAUAUAUAACAGAUUAUACAUGUAGCAGUCUAUAUUAAAUCAAUGGUCACUUAAGUUUGAACCCAUUCUUUACUCUUCCCUUCUCCACAUUUUAGGUAUAUGGUGUCACCAUCUACAUCCUUUUAUUUUGUGAAUCCAUUGACAGAUUUUUAUAGAUAUUUUUAUUUUUACUGUUUUUAUGUUUCCUAUUUUUCAUACUCUUACUCAUGAUCUUUCCUUUUCACUCAAAGAGUUGCCUUUAACAUUUCUUGUAGCACUGGUUUAGUGGUCAUGAAUUCCUUUAACUUUUGUUUGUCUGAGAAACUCUUUAUCUCUCCUUCUAUUCUGAAUUAUAGCCUUGCUGGACAGAGUAUUCUUGGCUGCAGAUUUUUUCCUUUCUGCACUUUGAAUAUAUCAUGCUACUACCUUUUGGCCUGCAAAUUUUCUAAUGAGAAAUCAGCUGACAGUUUUAUGUGGUUUCCCCUGUAUGUAACUGUCUUUCUCUUACUACUUUAAAAAUUAUCUCUUUAUCACUACUUUUUACCAUUUUAAUUACUAUGUGUUUUGGUGUGGACCCCCUUGUGUUGAUUUUGUUGAGAGCUUUCUGUACCUUCUGGAUUGGGUUAUCUGCUUCUUUCCCCAGAUUUGGGAAGCUUUCAGCUUUUAUUACUUCAAAUAAGUUUCCUACACCCUUUUCUUUCUCUUCCACUUCUGGGAUCGCUAUAAUCCAAAUGUUGUUAUGCUUGAUGGAGUUGUUGAGUUUCCUAAAUCUAUUCUGAUUAUGCAUAAUUUUUUUUCUCUCACCUGCUCAGCUUGAUCAUUUUCCAUUACUCUGUCUUCCAGGUUGCUAAUUUGUUCCUCUGCUUCCUCUACCCUGUUAUGUAUUCCAUCUAGUGUAUUUUUACAUUCAAUUAUUUUGCUCUUUAUCCCUGAUUGGCUCUUUAUUAUUUCUUUUUAAAGGAUCUCACUGAUGUCCUCCAUUCUUUUCUCAAGUCCAGUGAAUACCUUUAUGACCAUUAAUUUAUUUCUUAAGUGUUUAUUAAUUUAUUUUGAGAGAGAAAGAGAGAGAGAGAGAGAGAGAACAUGCAAGUGGCAGAGGGGCAGAGACAGAGGCAGAGAAAGAAUCCCAAGCAGACUCUGCACUGUUAGCGCAGAGGCUAAUGUAGGGCUCCAUCUGAUUAACCAUGAGAUUGUGACCUGAGCCAAAAUCAAGAGUUGGAUGCUUAACUGACUGAGCCAGUAAGCACCCCAACUUUAAAUUCUCUAUCAGCCACAUUAUUUAUAUCCAAGAUACUUAGAUCUCUUUUUGUGGUUCCUGUUCUUUCAUUUGGGACAUAUUCCUCUCUUUCCUCAUUUUGUCUAACUUUUAAAAAAAUCUAUUUCUGUGUAUUAGGAAAGUCAACCACAUCUCCUGCUCUUGAAAGUAAUGGCUUUAUGAAGAAGAGGUCUUGUAGUGCCCUGCUGUGCAGUGUCCCCUGAUCCCCAGAACCUGGUGUUUCAGGGGAUGUCUGCUAUGCGUGUUGUAUGUGCCAGCAUCUUUUUCCUUCAGUCCGGUUGUCUGCAGAGAUUCUCUUUGCCUGUUGUGGGCAGUGUUUGGUCUCCAGCCACAGUGGGGCACAUGGUUUUAACAAGGUGCCCACUGGUCUGCUUCUGAAAUGAGACCUGCCACUGCCACUGCCUCCAGGACCAUGGCCAUGUGGGGCAUGCAAUUUUAACAAAGUGUGCCUCAGGCUUCUGCAGUGCCUGGCACCACUGCUGCCUCCAGGACCAAGGCCCCACAAAACGUGUGUGUGGGUAGAUGCCAUGUUGGCAAGGUUUAUGCAGGUCUUCUGAGGAGGGGAUCCACAGUGCAGGGACUGAGGCAAGCAUGACUGGAAAUGGCACAUCUGUCAAUGCUGGGUGUGUAGAGGGAUGAGGCUUGGUAUAAGCAGUUCAAUAGUGAACGCCUGCACUGUGCUGGUUCCCACAGGUGGCUGUGUGUUUAUGCUGGGGGUCAGGAGGGAAAUGGUGCCUGCCAGCUCCUUAGAGGAAUCUCUCUCUGAGCAUGCUGGGAGUGAGUAAAUGGCUCUCCCUCGAAUAUGCUGGAGGCAUUUUUUCAAACCCCUGCUUCUAUAGUUUAUCUCUGUAGGCUGUUUGCUGUGCUCUUGAAGGGCAGGACUCAGCUUCCUAUUACCCUCUGGGCUUUCCCAGAGUUAAGCCUGCAGAUUCCAGGCUACAUGUCCCUCUGGUUGUAAGAAUUCACAAUAUUCGACCCCUCAUCUCUUCAAAGUCACACUGGGAGCUCCCCAGUGUGAUAAUAUGUUUCUUGCCCUUCUCCAGGCCUGCAGCUCCCUCCCACUCCCUACCUACCCUUCCUACCCUCUUCCAUGUGACAUCUUCUCUACCUGUAGUUGUGGAAUUUGUUCUACAAGUCUUUGUGUCUUUUUCUGAUUAUUUAUGCGGACAUGAAUGCUAUCUAUUUGUAUCCAUGGAACGAGGUUAAUUUAGUGUCCUCUUACUCUGCCAUCUUCCUAGCCUAUCUAGGUAUGCAUUUAUAUUUUGUAUAAGUAGGAAGUGAGUGAGCCAAAUAGACAUGGGAAAUUCAGGCACAGGACCAAGAAUUUCUAGUGCUGGUGAGUAUACUGAACAACCAGGUAGAAUGGAGUUUUGCAUGUAUCAGAAGGGGGGUUGUCAUGUAACUACCCAAGAAUAAACCUUGGUGGUAUUAAGGUAAUGGAUUAACUAACAAGACAUAUAUAAAUCAAUAAUAGGAAAAACUCUAUGCCUUAUAUUGUGGAAGAUGAGACUUCAAUGAUGCCUCUAAUAAUAUGACAUAAUAUAUAUGUGAUUUUCUGAUAAUGCUAACAGACCAGGUCUAUACAGCAUGAUGAGAUAAAUUAUAAUGAGAUGAGUUGCAUUGAUCAUGCAAGAAUUCAAAAUACAUAGAAAGGAGUCAAGAUGCCAGGUUACAAAAAAAUGUAGGUGAAAGCAUGAACUUAAAAAGUCUUAGUAACAUAGGGCACCUGGGUGGCUCAAUCGGUCAGGCUUCUAACUUCAGCUUCAGUCAUGAUCUUGCAGUUCAUGAGUUCCAGCCUGGCGUUGGGCUGUGUUGACAGUACAGAUCCUAGAGCCUGUUUCAGAUUCUGUGUCUCCCUCUCUAGGCCCCUCCCCCUGCUCUCUCUCUCAGUCUCUCCCUCUCAAAAGUAAAUAAACAUGAAAAAAUAUUUUUUUUAAUGUCUUAGUCACCUAGAGAGAGAAGGAAGAUGGCGGCAGAGAAGGAUGCUGGGCUCACCACGUCCUGCUGACCACUUAGAUUCCACCCACAUCUGCCUAAAUAACCCAGAAAACCACCAGAAGACUAGCAAAAUGGAUUUUCUGGAGCCAAGCGUAGACGAGAAGCCCACGGAAGAGGGUAGGAAGGGCAGAGAGGCGGUGCGUGCUACACAGACUGGUGGGAGGGAGCCGGGGCAGUGGAGCGACAGCCAGCCCACCCGGCAAGGCAGAGCCCCUGAGUCUGGCUUGCAAAAACGGAGGGGCCUGACAGAGUGUGUUCUGACAGCCAGAGGGACUUAACAUCUGGAAUGUUAUAAAUCAAAAGCUCUGCUCCGAGAGCGGGAGGGCUAGAGGACAACGGGAGGGAGAGUUGUUGAGCCCCACAGGACAGAGCUCAGUUUGGCAGGGAACAAAGGCACUCACCAGCACAAUGUCCCUCGCCCAUCCUCCAGCCAAAAUCCCAAAGGGAACCAGUUCCCAUCACGGAACUUGCUUGCACCAUGCAAACACCCAACGAUGUGCUUCUGUGGAUCCAUUCCUCCAACAGGUCUGCCUCCCUCCCAGUGCCACAGGGCCCCUCCAGAAGCGGACCACCGAAGGCAAAGCAAGCUGAGUCUGCCCCUCCCACCCCCAACCACCUUGCAGAUCCAACCCGGCUAAUAUGCCAGAUCCCAUCAAAGCAGCACCACAAGCCUGGCAGUGUGCAAGGAGCCCACACAGAGGCCACACCACUCCACAGUGAGUCCUGCCCCUGGGAGAGGGGAAGAUAAGGUACACACCAGUCUGACUGUGGCCCCAGCGGUCUGACUGUGGCCCCAGACAUCAGGUCUGACUGCGGCCGCACCCACCAAUGCAAGUUACCCCAGACAGCACAGAGGAAGAGCCCUGCAGUUCCACGCCACUCCACGGACUAUCCAAAAUGACGAAACGGAAGAAUUCUCCUCAAAAGAAACUCCAGGAAGUAGUGACAGUUAACAAACUGAUCAAAAAUGAUUUAAGCAAUGUAACAUAAAAUGAAUUUAAAGUAAUAGUCAUAAAAUUAAUCACUGGGCUUGAAAAAAGUAUAGAGGACAGCAGAGAAUCUAUUACUACAGCGAUCAAGGAACAAAGAAACAGUCAGGAGGAGCUAAAAAAUGCUAUAUAUGAGCUGCAAAAUAAAAUGGAGGCGACCACAGCUUGGAUUGAAGAGGCAGAGGAGAGAAUAGGUGAAUUAGAAGAUAAUUAUGGAAAAAGAGGAAGCUGAGAAAAAGAG
This is a long non-coding RNA of Acinonyx jubatus (cheetah), 16791 nucleotides long. RefSeq lists it as uncharacterized. NCBI's taxonomy places the organism in Eukaryota, Metazoa, Chordata, Mammalia, Carnivora, Felidae. The transcript has 3 exons. The record is from RefSeq and is a predicted model, not a curated record.